RNAcentral lists this ribosomal RNA (249 nucleotides) under uncultured bacterium. RNAcentral's name for it is "partial 16S ribosomal RNA". It matches the Rfam family "Bacterial small subunit ribosomal RNA", at positions 524 to 776 of the family's 1533-position model. The record is from RNAcentral.
UACGUAGGGUGCAAGCGUUGUCCGGAAUUAUUGGGCGUAAAGAGCUCGUAGGCGGUCUGUCGCGUCGGCUGUGAAAACCCGGGGCUCAACCCCGGGCCUGCAGUCGAUACGGGCAGACUAGAGUGCGGUAGGGGAGACUGGAAUUCCUGGUGUAGCGGUGAAUGCGCAGAUAUCAGGAGGAACACCGGUGGCGAAGGCGGGUCUCUGGCCGUAACUGACGCUGAGGAGCGAAGCGUGGGAGCGAACAGG